GUCGUUUAGCUCAGUCGGUCAGAGCAUCGUGCUAAUAACGCGAGGGUCGCAGGUUCGAGCCCUGCAUCGACCA
This 73-nucleotide transfer RNA is filed under the name Perkinsus olseni. It matches the Rfam family "tRNA". Rfam says of the family: Transfer RNA (tRNA) molecules are approximately 80 nucleotides in length. Lineage: Eukaryota; Perkinsozoa; Perkinsida; Perkinsidae. The record is from Rfam by way of RNAcentral.